Molecule: long non-coding RNA, 410 nt
Filed under: Mytilus galloprovincialis (Mediterranean mussel)
Lineage: Eukaryota; Metazoa; Mollusca; Bivalvia; Mytilida; Mytilidae
Source: RNAcentral
UUAUGUAUUGUGUUUUGAUAAAAUAAGAUAAAUGUAAAAAAAAAUGUCUGCCAUGUUGGAUAGCAGGUGAGUUCAUUAGAUACAUUUCUUUAAACCAGAUACCCCAAUGAUGAUUGUGGCCAAGUUUGGUUAAAUUUGGCCUAAACAGAGAAUUAUUUAGAUAAAGAGUUUAUUAGGAAUUCUAGAAAAUGGAUAGGCUAGUAGUUUCAAUGGAGAAGACUUUUGUAAAAGUUAACAGACAAAGAUGACAAAGAACAAUAUGAUGGACGCCAAAUGAUGAGAAAAUAUUUGGCCAAGGACAGUAUUGAAAAUACCAGGUCCCAGUAGAGUUUAAUUAUUUUAUUCACAGUGACACUUGAAAUAACAAAUCAUAAGUUGAUAAAAAAAUCUAAUAGUUUUAAAGGUGAAAC